CCUACGGGAGGCUGCAGUGAGGAAUAUUGGUCAAUGGGCUUACGCCUGAACCAGCCAAGUCGCGUGAGGGAAGACUGCCCUAUGGGUUGUAAACCUCUUUUGUCAGGGAGCAAUUGGCGCUACGUGUAGCGUUAUCGAGAGUACCUGAAGAAAAAGCAUCGGCUAACUCCGUGCCAGCAGCCGCGGUAAUACGGAGGAUGCGAGCGUUAUCCGGAUUUAUUGGGUUUAAAGGGUGCGUAGGCGGAAUGCCAAGUCAGCGGUAAAAUCGCGGGGCUCAACCUCGCUCCGCCGUUGAAACUGGCGUGCUUGAGUGGGCGAGAAGUAUGCGGAAUGCGUGGUGUAGCGGUGAAAUGCAUAGAGAUCACGCAGAACUCCGAUUGCGAAGGCAGCAUACCGGCGCCCAACUGACGCUGAAGCACGAAAGCGUGGGUAUCGAACAGGAUUAGAUACCCUUGUAGUC
RNAcentral lists this ribosomal RNA (460 nucleotides) under uncultured bacterium. Its description in RNAcentral is "partial 16S ribosomal RNA". It matches the Rfam family "Bacterial small subunit ribosomal RNA", at positions 338 to 795 of the family's 1533-position model. The record is from RNAcentral.